Molecule: unclassified non-coding RNA, 398 nt
Filed under: soil metagenome
Description: partial contains 5.8S ribosomal RNA, internal transcribed spacer 2, and large subunit ribosomal RNA
Rfam family: 5.8S ribosomal RNA (bases 5-119)
Source: RNAcentral
GAUGAGAACGUAGUGAAAUGCGAUACUUGGUGUGAAUUGCAGAAUCCCGUGAACCAUCGAGUCUUUGAACGCAAGUUGCGCCCGAAGCCUCGGCUAAGGGCACGUCUUCCUGGGCGUCACGCAUCGCGUCUCCCCCAAACCGCCAAGGCGGAGGGGAAGGAAGAUGGCUUCCCGUGCCUCACCCGGCGCGGUUGGCCUAAAUUUGGAGCCCGCGGCACUUAGCUCUCGCGGCGAUAGGUGGUGAACAAGGCCUUGGCCGUGCAAACAACCCGCUGCGAAGCUCUAUGUCACGUGCGCUCGUCGGACCCUUUGAAGUUGCCUUCGGUGACUUAAAACCUUUGCGACCCCAGGUCAGGCGGGGCUACCCGCUGAAUUUAAGCAUAUCAAUAAGCGGAGGA